UGUAAGUUACGUGUAGAUGGGACCCACUCCCUUAUAAACUCCAAACAAAGUGGCAAGCAAACCUUUGACAUCACACUCGUUUGUUGUCAACACUUGAAAUAGCGCGACUGGGACCACUCGCUUUCAUCUUUUAGAUUGGUGUUCCUCACGGGCAUCUGAUGCGUGUGGUCUUUUGAAGUAACAAUCUGAUGUGUGACAAGAAUCGUCCAAACCUUACAAAAUUCAAGGAAGAUAUAGCAAUUAAUUUAAUUCCAAU
This 256-nucleotide long non-coding RNA is filed under the name Durio zibethinus. RNAcentral's name for it is "long non-coding RNA (DZIB_LNC001593)". The record is from RNAcentral. Lineage: Eukaryota; Viridiplantae; Streptophyta; Magnoliopsida; Malvales; Malvaceae.